GCUUGUCUCAAAGAUUAAGCCAUGCAUGUCUAAGUAUAAACGAUUUUAUACGUGAAACUGCGAAUGGCUCAUUAUAUCAGUUAUAGUUUAUUUGAUGGUCCUUACUAUUUGGAUAACCGUAGUAAUUCUAGAGCUAAUACAUGCAUAAAACCCUAACUUCUGGAAAGGGUGUAUUUAUUAGAUGGAAACCAAUGCGGGGUAACCCGGAAUAUGGUGAUUCAUAAUAACUUUCGGAUCGAUUUAUCGAUGCAUCAUUCAAGUUUCUGCCCUAUCAGCUUUGGAUGGUAGGGUAUUGGCCUACCAUGGCUUUAACGGGUAACGGAGAAUUAGGGUUCGAUUCCGGAGAGGGAGCCUGAGAAAUGGCUACCACAUCCAAGGAAGGCAGCAGG
RNAcentral lists this ribosomal RNA (389 nucleotides) under uncultured Chrysophyceae. Its description in RNAcentral is "partial small subunit ribosomal RNA". It matches the Rfam family "Eukaryotic small subunit ribosomal RNA", at positions 30 to 432 of the family's 1831-position model. Lineage: Eukaryota; Chrysophyceae. The record is from RNAcentral.